UGGGGAAUAUUGCACAAUGGGCGCAAGCCUGAUGCAGCGACGCCGCGUGAGGGAUGACGGCCUUCGGGUUGUAAACCUCUUUCACCAGGGACGAAGCGCAAGUGACGGUACCUGGAGAAGAAGCACCGGCCAACUACGUGCCAGCAGCCGCGGUAAUACGUAGGGUGCGAGCGUUGUCCGGAAUUACUGGGCGUAAAGAGCUCGUAGGUGGUUUGUCGCGUUGUUCGUGAAAACUCACAACUCAAUUGUGGGCGUGCGGGCGAUACGGGCAGACUAGAGUACUGCAGGGGAGACUGGAAUUCCUGGUGUAGCGGUGGAAUGCGCAGAUAUCAGGAGGAACACCGGUGGCGAAGGCGGGUCUCUGGGCAGUAACUGACGCUGAGGAGCGAAAGCGUGGGGAGCGAACAGGAUUAGAUACCCUGGUAGUCCACGCCGUAAACGGUGGGUACUAGGUGUGGGUUCCUUCCUUGGGAUCCGUGCCGUAGCUAACGCAUUGAAGUACCCCGCCUGGGGAGUACGGCCGCAAGGCUAAAACUUAAAGGAAUUGACGGGGUCAUAGCUGUUUCC
This 567-nucleotide ribosomal RNA is filed under the name uncultured bacterium. RNAcentral's name for it is "partial 16S ribosomal RNA". It matches the Rfam family "Bacterial small subunit ribosomal RNA", at positions 355 to 937 of the family's 1533-position model. The record is from RNAcentral.